Molecule: ribosomal RNA, 834 nt
Rfam family: Bacterial large subunit ribosomal RNA
AGCGUUACAGCUUAUUCUCUUACACUUAUAAUUCCAUACCCCCCGCCAAACCUUUAAUUAUAUACUGAAUUAUUUUAUAUACCUAUAAAAGUAAUUAUGCUAGAACUAGUAACAAGAAAUUGAAUUUCUCCUAAAUGUAAACAUAAGCCCUAUUGGACACACCACCGGCACUUAACGUCUAUGCAACUACUAUAACAACAACCCCAAGAACACCCUAUAAACUCCUACGUUAACCUUACACAAGAACAUUUCAGGAAAGAUUAAAAAAGAAAGAAGGAACUCGGCAAAUUUUAGCCCCGCCUGUUUACCAAAAACAUCGCCUCUUGACACAACAUAGGAGGUCCAGCCUGCCCAGUGACAGAGUUCAACGGCUACGGUACCCUGACCGUACGAAGGUAGCAUAAUCACUUGUUCCUUAAAUGGGGACUUGUAUCAACGGCAUCACGAGGGCUGCACUGUCUCCUUUCUUCAAUCAGUGAAACUGAUCCCCCCGUGAAGAAGCGGGGAUGAAAUUAUAAGACGAGAAGACCCCAUGGAGCUUUAAAUAAUACAGCCACACUAUCAAAAUAUCCUCUUACUAAAAGUCCUGACUGUAAAUUUUAGGUUGGGGAGACCGCGGAGAACAACUAAACCUCCACGACAGACGGCCUAAGCCCUUAUCCACGAAUAACACUUCUAAGAAUCAGUACUCUGAUGUUAUUGACCCGAUAUUAUUCGACUGACGAACCAAGUUACCCUGGGGAUAACAGCGCAAUCUACUUUGAGAGCCCAUAUCGACAAGUGGGUUUACGACCUCGAUGUUGGAUCAGGGUAUCCUUGUGGUGCAGCAGCUAC